UACGUAGGGGGCAAGCGUUGUUCGGAUUUACUGGGCGUAAAGAGCGUGUAGGCGGCCAUACAGGUCAGUUGUGAAAACUCGAGGCUCAACCUCGAGACGUCGGUUGAAACCGUAUGGCUAGAGUCCGGAAGAGGAGAGUGGAAUUCCCGGUGUAGCGGUGAAAUGCGCAGAUAUCAGGAGGAACACCAAUUGCGAAGGCAGCUCGCUGGGACGGUACUGACGCUGAGACGCGAAAGCGUGGGGAGCGAACAGG
RNAcentral lists this ribosomal RNA (253 nucleotides) under uncultured bacterium. Its description in RNAcentral is "partial 16S ribosomal RNA". It matches the Rfam family "Bacterial small subunit ribosomal RNA", at positions 524 to 776 of the family's 1533-position model. The record is from RNAcentral.